This 497-nucleotide ribosomal RNA is filed under the name uncultured bacterium. Its description in RNAcentral is "partial 16S ribosomal RNA". It matches the Rfam family "Bacterial small subunit ribosomal RNA", at positions 28 to 507 of the family's 1533-position model. The record is from RNAcentral.
GAUGAACGCUGGCGGCGUGCCUAAUACAUGCCAGUCGAGCGAACGGACGAGAAGCUUGCUUCUCUGAUGUUAGCGGCGGACGGGUGAGUAACACGUGGAUAACCUACCUAUAAGACUGGGAUAACUUCGGGAAACCGUAGCUAAUACCGGAUAAUAUUUUGAACCGCAUGAUUCAAAAGUGAAAGACGGUCUUGCUGUCACUUAUAGAUGGAUCCGCGCUGCAUUAGCUAGUUGGUAAGGUAACGGCUUACCAAGGCAACGAUGCAUAGCCGACCUGAGAGGGUGAUCGGCCACACUGGAACUGAGACACGGUCCAGACUCCUACGGGAGGCAGCAGUAGGGAAUCUUCCGCAAUGGGCGAAAGCCUGACGGAGCAACGCCGCGUGAGUGAUGAAGGUCUUCGGAUCGUAAAACUCUGUUAUUAGGGAAGAACAUAUGUGUAAGUAACUGUGCACAUCUUGACGGUACCUAAUCAGAAAGCCACGGCUAACUACGUG